This is a transfer RNA of 83 nucleotides. It matches the Rfam family "tRNA". From Rfam's summary of the family: Transfer RNA (tRNA) molecules are approximately 80 nucleotides in length. Their secondary structure includes four short double-helical elements and three loops (D, anti-codon, and T loops). The record is from Rfam.
GCCCGGUUAGCUCAAUCGGUAGAGCGUGAGACUCUUAGCCGCGAGGCAUCUCAAGGUUGCGGGUUCGACCCCCGCAUCGGGCU